UUAAGUUAAUAAGGGCGCACGGUGGAUGCCUUGGCACUAGAAGCCGAUGAAGGACGUGACUAACGACGAAAUGCUUUGGGGAGCUGUAAGUGAGCAAUGAUCCAGAGAUGUCCGAAUGGGGGAACCCGGCAGGUAAUGCCUGUCACUCAUUACUGUUAAGGUAAUGUAGAGGAAGACGCAGUGAACUGAAACAUCUAAGUAGCUGUAGGAAGAGAAAGCAAAAGCGAUUGCCUUAGUAGCGGCGAGCGAAACGGCAAGAGGGCAAACCGAAGAGUUUACUCUUCGGGGUUGUAGGACUGCAACGUGGACUUAAAGAUUAUAGAAGAACUACCUGGGAAGGUAGGCCAAAGAGAGUAAUAGCCUCGUAUUCGAAAUAGUCUUUAUACCUAGCAGUAUCCUGAGUACGGCGAGACACGAGAAAUCUCGUCGGAAUCUGGGAGGACCAUCUCCCAACCCUAAAUACUCUCUAGUGACCGAUAGUGAACCAGUACCGUGAGGGAAAGGUGAAAAGCACCCCGGGAGGGGAGUGAAAUAGAACCUGAAACCGUGUGCCUACAACAAGUUCGAGCCCGUUAAUGGGUGAGAGCGUGCCUUUUGUAGAAUGAACCGGCGAGUUACGAUAUGAUGCGAGGUUAAGUUGAAGAGACGGAGCCGUAGGGAAACCGAGUCUUAAUAGGGCGCAUUAGUAUCAUGUCGUAGACCCGAAACCAUGUGACCUACCCAUGAGCAGGUUGAAGGUGAGGUAAAACUCACUGGAGGACCGAACCAGGGCACGUUGAAAAGUGCUUGGAUGACUUGUGGGUAGCGGAGAAAUUCCAAACGAACUUGGAGAUAGCUGGUUCUCUCCGAAAUAGCUUUAGGGCUAGCGUCGAUGUUAAGUCUCUUGGAGGUAGAGCACUGUUUGGGUGAGGGGUCCAUCCCGGAUUACCAAUCUCAGAUAAACUCCGAAUGCCAAUGAGAUAUAAUCGGCAGUCAGACUGCGAGUGCUAAGAUCCGUAGUCGAAAGGGAAACAGCCCAGACCACCAGCUAAGGUCCCAAAAUAUAUGUUAAGUGGAAAAGGAUGUGGGGUUGCACAGACAACUAGGAUGUUAGCUUAGAAGCAGCUAUUCAUUCAAAGAGUGCGUAAUAGCUCACUAGUCGAGUGACCCUGCGCCGAAAAUGUACCGGGGCUAAAACAUAUUACCGAAGCUGUGGAUACCUUUAUAGGUAUGGUAGGAGAGCGUUCUAUGUGCGAAGAAGGUGUACCGUGAGGAGUGCUGGAGCGCAUAGAAGUGAGAAUGCCGGUAUGAGUAGCGAAAGACAGGUGAGAAUCCUGUCCACCGUAAGACUAAGGUUUCCAGGGGAAGGCUCGUCCGCCCUGGGUUAGUCGGGACCUAAGGAGAGACCGAAAGGUGUAUCCGAUGGACAACAGGUUGAUAUUCCUGUACUAGAGUAUAUAGUGAUGGAGGGACGCAGUAGGCUAACUAAACCAGACGAUUGGAAGUGUCUGGCCAAGCAGUGAGGUGUGAUAUGAGUCAAAUGCUUAUAUCUUUAACAUUGAGCUGUGAUGGGGAGCGAAGUUUAGUAGCGAAGUUAGUGAUGUCACACUGCCGAGAAAAGCUUCUAGCGUUAAUUAUACUCUACCCGUACCGCAAACCGACACAGGUAGUCGAGGCGAGUAGCCUCAGGUGAGCGAGAGAACUCUCGUUAAGGAACUCGGCAAAAUGGCCCCGUAACUUCGGGAGAAGGGGCGCUGACUGAUGGUCAGCCGCAGUGAAUAGGCCCAAGCAACUGUUUAUCAAAAACACAGCUCUCUGCUAAAUCGUAAGAUGAUGUAUAGGGGGUGACGCCUGCCCGGUGCUGGAAGGUUAAGAGGAGUGCUUAGCGUAAGCGAAGGCAUGAAUUGAAGCCCCAGUAAACGGCGGCCGUAACUAUAACGGUCCUAAGGUAGCGAAAUUCCUUGUCGGGUAAGUUCCGACCCGCACGAAAGGCGUAAUGAUUUGGGCACUGUCUCAACGAGAGACUCGGUGAAAUUUUAGUACCUGUGAAGAUGCAGGUUACCCGCGACAGGACGGAAAGACCCCAUGGAGCUUUACUGCAGUUUGAUAUUGAGUAUCUGUACCACAUGUACAGGAUAGGUAGGAGCCUAUGACCUCGGGACGCCAGUUUCGAGUGAGGCGUUGUUGGGAUACUACCCUUGUGUUAUGGCUACUCUAACCCAGAUAGGUUAUCCCUAUCGGAGACAGUGUCUGACGGGCAGUUUGACUGGGGCGGUCGCCUCCUAAAAGGUAACGGAGGCGCCCAAAGGUUCCCUCAGAAUGGUUGGAAAUCAUUCGCAGAGUGUAAAGGUAUAAGGGAGCUUGACUGCGAGAGCUACAACUCGAGCAGGGACGAAAGUCGGGCUUAGUGAUCCGGUGGUUCCGUAUGGAAGGGCCAUCGCUCAACGGAUAAAAGCUACCCUGGGGAUAACAGGCUUAUCUCCCCCAAGAGUUCACAUCGACGGGGAGGUUUGGCACCUCGAUGUCGGCUCGUCGCAUCCUGGGGCUGUAGUCGGUCCCAAGGG
RNAcentral lists this ribosomal RNA (2543 nucleotides) under metagenome. Its description in RNAcentral is "bacterial LSU rRNA". It matches the Rfam family "Bacterial large subunit ribosomal RNA", at positions 3 to 2571 of the family's 2925-position model. The record is from RNAcentral.